RNAcentral lists this ribosomal RNA (405 nucleotides) under uncultured bacterium. Its description in RNAcentral is "partial 16S ribosomal RNA". It matches the Rfam family "Bacterial small subunit ribosomal RNA", at positions 28 to 526 of the family's 1533-position model. The record is from RNAcentral.
GAUGAACGCUGGCGGCGUGCCUAAUACAUGCAAGUCGAGCGAAGCGGGGACGGGGGAGUAACACGUGGGGAACCUCCUAUAAGACUGGGAAAACUUAGGGAAACCGGAGCUAAACCGGAAACUUAUAGAUGGAUGCGCGUUGCAUUAGCUAGUUGGUAAGGUAACGGCUUAGCAAGGCCACGAUGCAUAGCCGACCUGAGAGGAUGAUCGGCCACACUGGAACUGAGACACGGUCCGGACUCCUACGGGAGGCAGCAGUAGGGAAUCUUCCGCAAUGGGGGAAAGCCUGACGGAGCCACGCCGCGUGAGUGAUGAAGGUCUUCGGAUCGUAAAGCUCUGUUAUUAGCGAAGCGUUACCUAAUCAGAAAGCCCCGGCUAACUACGUGCCAGCAGCCGCGGUAAUAC